ACGGCUCAGUAACRCGUAGUCAAUCUGCCCUAUGGACGUGGAUAACCUCGGGAAACUGAGAAUAAUCCGCGAUAGAUCAUAAUGCCUGGAACGGUUUAUGGUCCAAAUGAUUCGUCGCCAUAGGAUGGGACUGCGGCCUAUCAGCUUGUUGGUGAGGUAAUGGCCCACCAAGGCUAUUACAGGUACGGGCUCUGAGAGGAGAAGCCCGGAGAUGGGUACUGAGACACGGACCCAGGCCCUAUGGGGCGCAGCAGGCGAGAAACCUUUGCAAUGUGCGCAAGCACGACAAGGUUAAUCCGAGUGUUUCCUGCUAAAGGAAUCUUUUGUUAGUUCUAAAACCACUGAUGAAUAAGGGGUGGGCAAGUUCUGGUGUCAGCCGCCGCGGUAAAACCAGCACCUCAAGUGGUCAGGAGGAUUAUUGGGCCUAAAGCAUCCGUAGCCGGCUCUGUAAGUUUCCGGUUAAAUCCACUAGCUCAACUAAUGGGCUGCCGGAAAUACUGCAGAACUAGGGAGUGGGAGAGGUAGACGGUACUCGGGAGGAAGGGGUAAAAUCCUUUGAUCUCUUGAUGACCACCUGUGGCGAAGGCGGUCUACCAGAACACGUUCGACGGUGAGGGAUGAAAGCUGGGGGAGCAAACCGGAUUAGAUACCCGGGUAGUCCCAGCUGUAAACGAUGCAGACUCGGUGAUGCACUGGCUUUUGGCCAGUGCAGUGCCGCAGGGAAGCCGUUAAGUUUGCCGCCUGGGAAGUACGUACGCAAGUAUGAAACUUAAAGGAAUUGGCGGGGGAGCAC
Molecule: ribosomal RNA, 793 nt
Filed under: uncultured archaeon
Lineage: Archaea
Description: bacterial SSU rRNA
Rfam family: Archaeal small subunit ribosomal RNA
Source: RNAcentral